UCUCAGUUCAGAUUGCAGGCUGCAACUCGCCUGCAUGAAGUCGGAAUUGCUAGUAAUCGCAGAUCAGCAUGCUGCGGUGAAUACGUUCCCGGGCCUUGUACACACCGCCCGUCACACCAUGGGAGUCGAUAACACCCGAAGUCGGUAGCCUAACCGUAAGGAGGGCGCCGCCGAAGGUGGGAUUGAUGACUGGGGUGAAGUCGUAACAAGGUACC
RNAcentral lists this ribosomal RNA (215 nucleotides) under uncultured bacterium. Its description in RNAcentral is "partial 16S ribosomal RNA". It matches the Rfam family "Bacterial small subunit ribosomal RNA", at positions 1286 to 1500 of the family's 1533-position model. The record is from RNAcentral.